CAAGAGGGGACAUCCACAAGAGACUCCAGACAUCCAAAGAGUCUGGAGUCAACCAAAACUAUGUUUUCACGGAAAAACGUGGCGUUCAAACUGCAUCUUCCUCCUCCUGGCUUCUUCUCCCCUCUCUCUAAUAUUCCUAGUGCUAGCUUUUGGUCACCGUAACUUGUAAUUAGAUAUUAUUUCUGCAGCCAUGGGAACGCAAGCUCCUCCUACUCCCCCAGAAUCAUAUGAUAUCAGAAGCAAGUCCGAGAAGGAGAAGAACGUCGAUGAUUGGCUUCCGAUCACCUCAUCCCGGAAUGCCAAGUGGUGGUACUCAACAUUCCACAAUGUCACGGUCAUGGUCGGAGCCGGUGUCCUCAGCUUGCCAUCUGCUAUGUCAGAACUUGGAUGGUGAGAAGAAUAAAAGAAAAAAACAAAAAAAAUAAAGCACUAUCUUGAAAUCAUGGUGUUAAAACUUUGAUGUUUGAUUGUUAUUUUGGGGUUCUCAUGUUUUAAUUUUGUUACAUUAUUGUCUUUCCAGUGAUAUUUUGGAUAAUAGAAUGGUAUCCUCAAACCAAUACCUAUUGGCUAUUUCA
Non-coding RNA from Elaeis guineensis (African oil palm), 575 nucleotides. The record is from RefSeq and is a predicted model, not a curated record. NCBI's taxonomy places the organism in Eukaryota, Viridiplantae, Streptophyta, Magnoliopsida, Arecales, Arecaceae.